RNAcentral lists this ribosomal RNA (317 nucleotides) under uncultured bacterium. Its description in RNAcentral is "bacterial SSU rRNA". It matches the Rfam family "Bacterial small subunit ribosomal RNA", at positions 773 to 1074 of the family's 1533-position model. The record is from RNAcentral.
AGUGAAUAGAUACCCAGGUAGUCCACGCCGUAAACGAUGAGUGCUUGGUGUAGCGGGUAUCGACCCUGCUGUGCCGAAAGUCAACACAUUAAGCACUCCGCCUGGGGAGUACGGUCGCAAGGUACUGAAAACUCAAAGGAAGUUGACGGGGCCCGCACAAGCGGUGGAGCAUGUUAGGUUUAAUUACGAAGACAACGCGAAGAACCUUACCCUGGGUUUGUAAGUGCAGUGGAAAGGUCCCUCAGAGAGUGAGGUCCCCUCGUUCGAGGCCGCUGUAUAGGUGCUGCAUGGCUGUCGUCAGCUCGUGUCGUGAGAUG